GAAUGAACCCUUCAUGUCUACAUAGGGAGUGGGUCUUCUUCACAGAGUCUGCCAUGUUGCACCGCCAUGUUUCUACAGUAGCCCAGAACGGACAAACCAAACACUGGCUCUAGAGAGAGAGCUUUUAUGCGUUAUCUGAAGGCCACCAUCGUUCUCUGAUACACUUUUGAAACUGCGGUAAUGUGAGCUGCAGAGCGCAAAACUGUGGUACCGCCAGCCGCCGUCUGACUUCUGUUGCUCCUACAGUAGUGUUAUUAUGAUAUAGAUGGCCUUUGAGC
Long non-coding RNA from Sebastes umbrosus (honeycomb rockfish), 278 nucleotides. RefSeq lists it as uncharacterized. The record is from RefSeq and is a predicted model, not a curated record. Lineage: Eukaryota; Metazoa; Chordata; Actinopteri; Perciformes; Sebastidae. The transcript is spliced from 3 exons.